GCCGUCAUCGCCUUGUCUAGGCCUCCGACUCUGUUUUUCAGGUGAUUUGUGUCCAUGCUCUCGUUUCGAUCUCCCUGCAGAUGUUGCGUAGUUUUCUUUUUUCUCGUUUUUCUGUAGGUUCUUUUCUAGUCGAUGUGGUUUCCGAAUCGUGUAAAGUUCCUGCAGGCGAUAGUGAAUUCCAGAUUGCGAGAGAUGCGGUGAGCCUUAUCCACCGGAACAGUUGUGGACUCCUAACUACUUCCUUAGAACUCUUUCUUUUGACCGGAUUUUUGAUGGACGUUGCUGUUUGGCGCAAUGUGAAAUAUUACAAGAGGAUUUAAUUAGACUGAAGCUAAUAUCACAGGGGGAGUCAAUCCGAUAUAUUACUACCUUCUGUCAGCUUCUGUGCAGGUGACCGACAUCUUGGAGAUGCAGGGUCGGAAAGAAUUGCUCACAUUCGGUGGUCAUUCCGCUGGCGUGGAGAGAAUACCAGGAAAUUUUAUUGUUGUGCUCACGUUCGGUGUUUCGAAAUGGCAAUCGGUAAUAAUUGCUAGAAGACACCAGCGAUCAUUGGAUUCCGGACCAGGUUCUGAUGAGCUUCGUUACCGAUUUGCAAAUCAGCAGUGCCCACUGGCUUCAGAACUGCUCCCCGGGGUUACUUUUUGACGUGGCGGCACCGCAAUCCGACGCAGGCACAAACUAGGUGCCAGGCACCGCAACCAUCGAAGACCUUAUCACGAUUACCUCAUCACAAAUGCUGGACGAUGCACAUGCGAGGGAGGUGGCUCGUCGAAAUCCUGGAAACGUUGAGAAAAUAGACAUCGAAACCAGGGGAGGUUGUGGGUUUUUUAACCACUGAAGAGUUGGAGUUACUGGAGGACUAUCUUAUGAAUGGGGAAGCAUUCUAUCUUGAAACUUUUGCAUACAAUGCACACCAUCUCCAAGGCAAGGAGUUUUCUCACAGCCAUCUAACCAUCGAACAAUUUGUAAAAUGAAAACACAAAAUAUAUUCUGGAAAACAAUAAGGAAACCCAGUCCAAUCACUGUACAAGCGUAAACCCACGUUUCACCACAUGAGACCUUGAUUCGGAGCUCAACAUACUCCACUCUCCUCACAGUUCCACCAAAUCACGUCAUCAAACACACCGCUAUAUUCCCUCGCUAUGCAAACAUACAGUUGCGACUUCGCAGCUGCUAAUUCUACAAUUAGUACCUGCUCAAAAAAAUGCAAUCCGUUGAUAAUAAACGAUGAGAAUUGAUAUUUCCACCCAAAGUUUUAUUUUUUGUACCCCAAAAUUGUGCUCCACCUAAUAUUCUUUUCAUCCACGAUUGAAUUAUAUCCUUGCUAUUGUCUACCUUUAGGUUAGGUUGGCUAUAUUAAUUUAUAUCAAAUUUGUCUAAAACAUUUAGAAUAACUAAUCAUACAAACAUAUAAAAUUAGUUUUUAAACCAAUCAAAUAAAUGAAUUCUAUUUUAUAUUUUAAAGAAUAUUCUUUAGUUUUUACUUUAUAUAAUGUUUUUUGUUU
RNAcentral lists this long non-coding RNA (1505 nucleotides) under Physcomitrium patens. RNAcentral describes it as "long non-coding RNA (PPAT_LNC009762)". The record is from RNAcentral. Lineage: Eukaryota; Viridiplantae; Streptophyta; Bryopsida; Funariales; Funariaceae.